Molecule: ribosomal RNA, 253 nt
Filed under: uncultured bacterium
Lineage: Bacteria
Description: partial 16S ribosomal RNA
Rfam family: Bacterial small subunit ribosomal RNA
Source: RNAcentral
UACAGAGGGGGCAAGCGUUAUUCGGAAUUACUGGGCGUAAAGCGUGCGCAGGCGGUUUUGUAAGCCAGAUGUGAAAUCCCCGGGCUUAACCUGGGAAUGGCAUUUGGGACUGCAAGGCUGGAGUGCGGCAGAGGAGACUGGAAUUCCUGGUGUAGCAGUGAAAUGCGUAGAUAUCAGGAGGAAUACCGAUGGCGAAGGCAGGUCUCUGGGCUGACACUGACGCUCAUGCACGAAAGCGUGGGGAGCAAACAGG